RNAcentral lists this ribosomal RNA (440 nucleotides) under uncultured bacterium. RNAcentral's name for it is "partial 16S ribosomal RNA". It matches the Rfam family "Bacterial small subunit ribosomal RNA", at positions 338 to 795 of the family's 1533-position model. The record is from RNAcentral.
CCUACGGGAGGCAGCAGUAGGGAAUAUUGCUCAAUGGGGGAAACCCUGACGCAGCAACGCCGCGUGGAGGAUGAAGGUUUUCGGAUUGUAAACUCCUUUUGUUAGAGAAGAUAAUGACGGUAUCUAACGAAUAAGCACCGGCUAACUCCGUGCCAGCAGCCGCGGUAAUACGGAGGGUGCAAGCGUUACUCGGAAUCACUGGGCGUAAAGAGCGCGGAGGCGGGAUGGCAAGUCAGAUGUGAAAUCCUAUGGCUUAACCAUAGAACUGCAUUUGAAACUGUUAUUCUAGAGUAUGGGAGAGGUAGGUGGAAUUCUUGGUGUAGGGGUAAAAUGCGUAGAGAUCAAGAGGAAUACUCAUUGCGAAGGCGACCUGCUAGAACAUAACUGACGCUGAUGCGCGAAAGCGUGGGGAGCAAACAGGAUUAGAUACCCCAGUAGUC